UACGUAGGGUGCAAGCGUUGUCCGGAUUUACUGGGUUUAAAGGGUGCGUAGGCGGCCGGGUAAGUCGACGAUGAAAUGUCAGCGCUCAACGCUGGCCCUGUUGUCGAUACUGCUUGGCUAGAGAGUGGAUGAGGCGGCUGGAAUGAGCGGUGUAGUGGUGAAAUACGUAGAGAUCGCUCAGAACACCGAUUGCGAAGGCAGGUCGCUGGACCAUUUCUGACGCUGAGGCACGAAAGCGUGGGGAGCAAACAGG
This 253-nucleotide ribosomal RNA is filed under the name uncultured bacterium. RNAcentral describes it as "partial 16S ribosomal RNA". It matches the Rfam family "Bacterial small subunit ribosomal RNA", at positions 524 to 776 of the family's 1533-position model. The record is from RNAcentral.